UAAAGUGGAAUACAGGGACAUUGAGAUUGAUGAUUACAACCUGCCCAUGCAGAUACUGAAGCCAGCAACCUUCACCGACACCACCCACUACCCUCUGCUCCUGGUGGUGGAUGGCACCCCGGGCAGCCAGAGUGUGGCUGAGAAGUUCGAGGUGAGCUGGGAGACGGUGAUGGUGAGCAGCCAUGGCGCGGUGGUGGUAAAGUGUGACGGCCGUGGCAGCGGCUUCCAAGGGACCAAGCUCCUGCACGAAGUGAGGCGGCGGCUGGGCUUGCUGGAGGAGAAGGACCAGAUGGAGGCCGUGCGGUGAGCACCCGCCCAGGAAGCAGGAGAGGCCGGGAGGGGACAGGGCUCCUCAUGGGGGCAGCACCGCAGUCACAGUGCGGGAAUGCUUUUUCCCCAUGCGCACAUUUUGCAUGCAAUUUGCUCUUACCUAAAAUCUCCUGGCCGUUCCCAAGAAGUUUCAAAGGAAACUUAGGAAUCUUCUCCUAGGGACAUUUAUAACUAGUUUUCCCACUGCAGGGUAGAUUGUUGAGUUGACUAAAACAAGGGGAUAGAAAUUGCCGGUUGGGUUGGCUUGGCUUUUCUGCGC
This 589-nucleotide small RNA is filed under the name Pan troglodytes (chimpanzee). RNAcentral's name for it is "retained intron". Lineage: Eukaryota; Metazoa; Chordata; Mammalia; Primates; Hominidae. The record is from RNAcentral.